GUACACGCUGUGACUAGCAUAUCAAUAAGCGGAGGAAAAGAAACUAACAAGGAUUCCCUUAGUAACGGCGAGUGAAGCGGGAAGAGCUCAAAUUUGAAAUCUUGAAAGGUCACCUUUCACGAAUUGUAGUUUAAAGAAGUGUUUUCUGUUACGAUCGUAAUAUAAGUUCUUUGGAAUAGGACAUCACAGAGGGUGAGAAUCCCGUCUAUGAUUGCGAUUUGUAGCUUUGUGAUACACUUUCAAAGAGUCGGGUUGUUUGGGAAUGCAGCCCAAAACGGGAGGUAAAUUUCAUUCUAAAGCUAAAUAUUGGCGAGAGACCGAUAGCGAACAAGUACCGUGAGAGAAAGAUGAAAAGAACUUUGAAAAGAGAGUUAAAUAGUACGUGAAAUUGUCAAAAGGGAAGCGUUUAACACCAGUGUUGUUUUCUGAAAAUCAACCUCUGUUAGCUUUAUGCAUGUUUGUUUAGACCUAAUCAGCUAUCUUUCAUGUUCUAUUGUUUGCAGUGGUGCACUUUUCAGUUUACAGGUCAACAUCAGUUUUUUUUACCGUAAAAAAGUUAAAGAAAGGUAGCUCAUGGCUCCGGUCGUGAGUGUUAUAGUCUUUUUCCUAUGCGGUAGGAGAGACUGAGGUCUGCAGUGUAGGCUAUUUGGCUAGAUACUCAGGUGCUAUGUGAUACCAUUUCAUAAACAACUUGUUGAUUAUGUUUUGUCUAUUGCAUACUCGCUUGUACUAUCAUACCUACGCUUAGGAUGUUGAGUAGCGACAUACGCAC
RNAcentral lists this ribosomal RNA (772 nucleotides) under uncultured Neocallimastigales. Its description in RNAcentral is "partial large subunit ribosomal RNA". The stretch from base 4 to 662 matches the Rfam family "Eukaryotic large subunit ribosomal RNA", at positions 24 to 664 of the family's 3401-position model. Lineage: Eukaryota; Fungi; Neocallimastigomycota; Neocallimastigomycetes; Neocallimastigales. The record is from RNAcentral.